UACGUAGGGUGCAAGCGUUGUCCGGAAUCAUUGGGCGUAAAGCGCGUGUAGGCGGCCACGUUAGUCCGUUCUGAAAGCCCGGGGCUCAACCCCGGGAGGCGGAUGGAUACUGCGUGGCUCGAGUUCGGAAGAGGCGAGUGGAAUUCCUGGUGUUGCGGUGGAAUGGGCAGAUAUCAGGAGGAACACCAAUGGCGAAGGCAGCUCGCUGGGACGUGACUGACGCUGAGACGCGGAAGCGUGGGGUGCAAAGAGG
RNAcentral lists this ribosomal RNA (253 nucleotides) under uncultured bacterium. RNAcentral describes it as "partial 16S ribosomal RNA". It matches the Rfam family "Bacterial small subunit ribosomal RNA", at positions 524 to 776 of the family's 1533-position model. The record is from RNAcentral.